Molecule: long non-coding RNA, 326 nt
Filed under: Selaginella moellendorffii
Lineage: Eukaryota; Viridiplantae; Streptophyta; Lycopodiopsida; Selaginellales; Selaginellaceae
Description: long non-coding RNA (SMOE_LNC001064)
Source: RNAcentral
UGGAUAAUCUUCCCCCUGGCGGGAUUCAACGUCGUGCUCAUCGCCGUCCAGCUCGUCUCCAUCAUGUUCGUCGGUCACCUCGGAACUCUGGAGCUCUCCAGCGCCGCCAUCGCCACUUCUCUCUGCAACGUCUCGGGUUUCAGCCUCGUGGUAAGCUCAGAUCUGAAAAAAGAAAAGGAAAAAAAAAAAGACAGAAAACUUACACAUGUUCGUUGACAAAAUUCUCUCCCUGAUGUGAAAAGAUCGGCCUCGCCUUUGCUCUCGACACUCUGUGCGGCCAAGCCCAUGGAGCCAAGCAGUAUCACAAGGUCGGCGUCUUCAUCCAG